UAACACGUUCCCGGCAGGUGGAAGAGU
This 27-nucleotide small RNA is filed under the name Bombyx mori (domestic silkworm). RNAcentral describes it as "ovarian small RNA-5620". The record is from RNAcentral. Lineage: Eukaryota; Metazoa; Arthropoda; Insecta; Lepidoptera; Bombycidae.